This 429-nucleotide ribosomal RNA is filed under the name Bacillota bacterium. RNAcentral describes it as "Firmicutes bacterium partial 16S ribosomal RNA". It matches the Rfam family "Bacterial small subunit ribosomal RNA", at positions 355 to 776 of the family's 1533-position model. The record is from RNAcentral. Lineage: Bacteria; Bacillati; Bacillota.
UAGGGAAUCUUCCACAAUGGACGCAAGUCUGAUGGAGCAACGCCGCGUGAGUGAAGAAGGUUUUCGGAUCGUAAAGCUCUGUUGUUGGAGAAGAAGGAUAGAGGCAGUAACUGGUCUUUAUUUGACGGUAAUCAACCAGAAAGUCACGGCUAACUACGUGCCAGCAGCCGCGGUAAUACGUAGGUGGCAAGCGUUGUCCGGAUUUAUUGGGCGUAAAGCGAGCGCAGGCGGAAUGAUAAGUCUGAUGUGAAAGCCCACGGCUCAACCGUGGAACUGCAUCGGAAACUGUCAUUCUUGAGUGCAGAAGAGGAGAGUGGAAUUCCAUGUGUAGCGGUGGAAUGCGUAGAUAUAUGGAAGAACACCAGUGGCGAAGGCGGCUCUCUGGUCUGCAACUGACGCUGAGGCUCGAAAGCAUGGGUAGCGAACAGG